This 289-nucleotide unclassified non-coding RNA is filed under the name uncultured Pleosporales. RNAcentral's name for it is "sequence contains ITS1". The stretch from base 1 to 105 matches the Rfam family "5.8S ribosomal RNA", at positions 50 to 154 of the family's 154-position model. Lineage: Eukaryota; Fungi; Ascomycota; Dothideomycetes; Pleosporales. The record is from RNAcentral.
GAAAUGCGAUAAGUAGUGUGAAUUGCAGAAUUCAGUGAAUCAUCGAAUCUUUGAACGCACAUUGCGCCCCUUGGUAUUCCAUGGGGCAUGCCUGUUCGAGCGUCAUUUGUACCUUCAAGCUUUGCUUGGUGUUGGGUGUUUGUCCCUCGGGACUCGCCUUAAAGUCAUUGGCAGCCAGUGUUUUGGUUUUGAAGCGCAGCACAAGUCGCGAUUCAAGGCUAUCCGCCCGCUUCCACAAGCCUUUUUCACUUUUGACCUCGGAUCAGGUAGGGAUACCCGCUGAACUUAA